RNAcentral lists this ribosomal RNA (347 nucleotides) under uncultured bacterium. RNAcentral's name for it is "partial 16S ribosomal RNA". It matches the Rfam family "Bacterial small subunit ribosomal RNA", at positions 338 to 696 of the family's 1533-position model. The record is from RNAcentral.
CCUACGGGAGGCUGCAGUCGAGAAUCAUUCACAAUGGGCGAAACCCUGAUGGUGCGACGCCGCGUGGGGGAAUGAAGUUCUUCGGAUUGUAAACCCCUGUCAUGUGGGAGCAAAUUAAAAAGAUAGUACGACAAGAGGAUGAGACGGCUAACUUUGUGCCAGCAGCCGCGGUAAUACAGAGGUCUCAAGCGGUUUUCGGGAUCACUGGGCGUAAACGGUGCGUAGGCUGUUUCGUAAGUUGUUUGGGAAAGGCGCGGGCUCAAACCGCGGCCCGCACAUGAUACUGGGAAACUAGAGUAAUAGAGGGGGAAACGGAAUUCUUGGUGUAGCAGUGGAAUGCGUAGAUA